Molecule: small RNA, 273 nt
Filed under: Loxodonta africana (African savanna elephant)
Lineage: Eukaryota; Metazoa; Chordata; Mammalia; Proboscidea; Elephantidae
Description: 7SK RNA (ENSLAFG00000032861.1)
Source: RNAcentral
GGGUGUGAGUGACAUCUGUCACUCCUUUAUCAGCAGUGUGGAUUUAACUCACUUGCUAGCUGGGAAAGCAGCACCUUCCUCGCUGGCUAUUUCAUGUGUGCCCUGCCUCAAGGUGUAUGCUAAGGCAAAGUUGACCUUUUAGGCUAUGUCUGGACUCUUCUUCAGUCAAGAGUAUCUGAAUAGCUAAGUUAUUUUAGUGGAAACUCUGAAUAUGAAACUGCAAUUUAAAGCACGCAAACACCUACUUUCAUAGCUGAGAAAAGUGUAGAGUGU